UGCUAAACAUGUCGAAUAUUCAAAUGGAGACAUAUUGCAAUAAUCAAAUGUCGCAAUCAGAGUCGUCAUUUUAAUAUUAUAUGGACCUCGCCAAGAAACAUGGACUUAAACUUCUGAUGUACGAAGACGGACCAUCAAUAAUGGAAGGCAGUGCCAUUGCCCACGGAAUUAGUCACGACGACGUCAUGAAUAAAGCAAUCGCAUUUAAUAGAGAUCAACACAUCAAGUCUGUAGUUAACAAUCUUCUUGAAGCUUGGUAUAAGAUUGUGAAAAAUGAUCCACAAAAUUCUUCACCAGGUGGGUUGUUCAAUUAUUUUUCCUCAACUGGUACUCCAUCAAAAUAUGGCAGCUGGGGAAUGCUUGAAUACACAGGACAAGAUCCUUGAACAGUACCUAAGUAUGUAGCGACUCAGAGUUUCAUUACGCGUCAUUAUAGUCAUAAUUCUGUAGACAUACCGUGCAGUUUCCUUCAGCACACAACCCUUGGAUAUGGUUGUUUCCUGCAGAAACGCGGGGCUCUUAAUUGGUGGUGCGCUGUAACUGACGAUGAUGGCGUCACUUGGUCGUACUAUGUAGACGUUGGCAGCCCUGGAGAUACUCUUGUACUGGAUGGAUUUAACCCUACUACACAUACAGUGUUUGUCAGAUGGGUAAACAAGAUUGGGGUUAACAACUAUCACAGCAUGGACACAAGAACAGGAAAUAACUGGAAAACUCAGACGAGCUUUGAUUACCACAGUGCUCUAGCCUCCAGAAAAAUCAAACGUGGACUACCUAAUGGUGUUUAUAACUAUUUAGAUACACAGUCCAGGUGCACUUGAAAGAUCUAAAUAAUCCAGCUGUCU
Mytilus californianus (California mussel) is the source of this 845-nucleotide long non-coding RNA. RefSeq lists it as uncharacterized. NCBI's taxonomy places the organism in Eukaryota, Metazoa, Mollusca, Bivalvia, Mytilida, Mytilidae. The transcript is spliced from 5 exons. The record is from RefSeq and is a predicted model, not a curated record.